This 801-nucleotide ribosomal RNA is filed under the name uncultured Rubrobacter sp. Its description in RNAcentral is "bacterial SSU rRNA". It matches the Rfam family "Bacterial small subunit ribosomal RNA", at positions 8 to 796 of the family's 1533-position model. The record is from RNAcentral. Lineage: Bacteria; Bacillati; Actinomycetota; Rubrobacteria; Rubrobacterales; Rubrobacteraceae.
AGAGUUUGAUCAUGGCUCAGGACGAACGCUGACGGUGUGCUUUAGACAUGCAAGUCGAACGCGAAAGCCCUUCGGGGCGAGUAGAGUGGCGAACGGGUGAGUAACACGUGGGUAACCUGCCCCUCGCAGGGGGAUAACCGGGGGAAACCCCGGCUAAUACCCCGUACGCUCCGAGGUCCGCAUGGUCCUCGGAGGAAAGGUAGCUUCGGCCAUCCGGCGAGGGAUGGGCCCGCGGUCCAUUAGCUAGUUGGUGGGGUGACGGCUCACCAAGGCGACGAUGGAUAGCUGGUCUGAGAGGAUGAUCAGCCACACUGGGACUGAGACACGGCCCAGACUCCUACGGGAGGCAGCAGUCGGGAAUCUUGCGCAAUGGGCGAAAGCCUGACGCAGCAACACCGUGUGGGCGAUGAAGGCCUUCGGGUCGUAAAGCCCUGUUGUUGGGGACGAAGGGCGAAGGGUUAAUAGCCACUAGCCUGACGGUACCCUUCGAGGAAGCCCCGGCUAACUACGUGCCAGCAGCCGCGGUAAUACGUAGGGGGCGAGCGUUGUCCGGAAUUAUUGGGCGUAAAGAGCGUGUAGGCGGUUUGGUAAGUCUGCCGUGAAAACCCGGGGCUCAACCCCGGGCGUGCGGUGGAUACUGCCAGGCUAGAGGAUGGUAGAGGCGAGUGGAAUUCCCGGUGUAGCGGUGAAAUGCGCAGAUAUCAGGAAGAACACCUAUGGCGAAGGCAGCUCUCUGGGACGGUACUGACGCUGAGACGCGAAAGCGUGGGGAGCGAACAGGAUUAGAUACCCCGGUAGUCC